UACGUAGGGGGCAAGCGUUGUCCGGAAUCAUUGGGCGUAAAGAGCGUGUAGGCGGCCCGAUAAGUCCGCUGUGAAAGUCCAGGGCUCAACCCUGGAAUGCCGGUGGAUACUGUCGGGCUCGAAUCCGGAAGAGGUGAGUGGAAUUCCUGGUGUAGCGGUGAAAUGCGUAGAUAUCCGGAGGAACACCGGUGGCGAAGGCGGCUUCCUGGACCGACACUGACGCUGAGGCGCGAAAGCUAGGGGAGCAAACGGG
This 253-nucleotide ribosomal RNA is filed under the name uncultured bacterium. RNAcentral's name for it is "partial 16S ribosomal RNA". It matches the Rfam family "Bacterial small subunit ribosomal RNA", at positions 524 to 776 of the family's 1533-position model. The record is from RNAcentral.